RNAcentral lists this long non-coding RNA (605 nucleotides) under Polistes fuscatus (common paper wasp). RNAcentral's name for it is "uncharacterized LOC122516985". Lineage: Eukaryota; Metazoa; Arthropoda; Insecta; Hymenoptera; Vespidae. The record is from RNAcentral.
UUUUAUUCGGAAAAUUCUUGCAAUUAUUAUCAAGAAUGAAGAGAAAAGUGGAAUACGAAAUAACAAAAUGAUAAAGACGGAGUGAAACAUGAAGAGAAUUUAUAUAACAUGGAACCUGUGAACGAAUAAAAUACAUUAAAAAUAAUUAUUACAUGCCUGCGAUGCUAAGGAGAGAAGAAUAAUCCUCGGCUGGUCCUCUUCUGGUCCUCAGCUGGUCCUAUUCUGGUCCUCCACCUAUUGAACCUGCAACAAAAAAAAAACAAAAGGGAAUGGAAGAAGGAGAAAAGCGGGCCUUGAAACGAACCUGAAAAAGAAGAAAAUACGAUUAUUUUAGAUUUGCAAAGAUUCAACGAAUGAUCCAUGGUACCUGUAAAAACAUGGAAAUGCAUUAACAGUGAUUUUUGUCGCAUCAAUAUAAAACGAGGAAUGCAUCUGAAAAGAAUUUAAAUAAUCAUUUUCAAUCUACAUAAAAUAAAGAAAAAUAAUACAAAAAGUAUGCAAUAACGGGUUGUUCCAUGGAACCUACGAACACGGAAAAUACAUUAAAAAUAAUUAUAACACGUGUACGAUGCUACGGGGAGAACAAUAAACACAGAUCAAAAUUA